Molecule: transfer RNA, 70 nt
Filed under: Opitutia bacterium
Lineage: Bacteria; Pseudomonadati; Verrucomicrobiota; Opitutia
Description: tRNA-Thr
Source: RNAcentral
ACUGAUCUAGAGGAUUACUGUCGCAUUCGUAAUGCGUAGGUCGUCGGUUCGAAUCCGAUUCUCGGUUCCA